UACAGAGGGGGCAAGCGUUAUUCGGAAUUAUUGGGCGUAAAGGGCGCGUAGGCGGUUCUUUAAGUGAGAUGUGCAAUCCCCGGGCUCAACCUGGGAACUGCAUCUCAUACUGGAGGGCUAGAGCGCUGGAGAGGGUGGUAGAAUUCCACGUGUAGCGGUGAAAUGCGUAGAGAUGUGGAGGAAUACCAGUGGCGAAGGCGGCCACCUGGACAGUGACUGACGCUGAGGCGCGAAAGUGUGGGUAG
Molecule: ribosomal RNA, 245 nt
Filed under: uncultured bacterium
Lineage: Bacteria
Description: partial 16S ribosomal RNA
Rfam family: Bacterial small subunit ribosomal RNA
Source: RNAcentral